Molecule: ribosomal RNA, 482 nt
Filed under: uncultured bacterium
Lineage: Bacteria
Description: partial 16S ribosomal RNA
Rfam family: Bacterial small subunit ribosomal RNA
Source: RNAcentral
AUUGAACGCUGGCGGCAUGCUUUACACAUGCAAGUCGAACGGUAACAGGCCGCAAGGUGCUGACGAGUGGCGAACGGGUGAGUAAUGCAUCGGAACGUGCCCAGUCGUGGGGGAUAACUACUCGAAAGAGUAGCUAAUACCGCAUACGAUCUAUGGACGAAAGCGGGGGACCGGAAGGCCUCGCGCGAUUGGAGCGGCCGAUGUCAGAUUAGGUAGUUGGUGGGGUAAAGGCUCACCAAGCCCACGAUCUGUAGCUGGUCUGAGAGGACGACCAGCCACACUGGGACUGGGACACGGCCCAGACUCCUACGGGAGGCAGCAGUGGGGAAUUUUGGACAAUGGGCGCAAGCCUGAUCCAGCAAUGCCGCGUGCAGGAAGAAGGCCUUCGGGUUGUAAACUGCUUUUGUACGGAACGAAACGGCUCUGGUUAAUACCCGGGGCUAAUGACGGUACCGUAAGAAUAAGCACCGGCUAACUACGUG